Molecule: ribosomal RNA, 449 nt
Filed under: uncultured bacterium
Lineage: Bacteria
Description: SSU rRNA
Rfam family: Bacterial small subunit ribosomal RNA
Source: RNAcentral
AGAACGAACGCUGGCGGCAGGCUUAACACAUGCAAGUCGAACGCGUGUAGCAAUACACGAGUGGCGCACGGGUGAGUAACGCGUGGAUAUCUGCCUUUUGGUUCGGAAUAACCCCGGGAAACUGGGGCUAAAUACCGGAUGGUUCCUACGGGAUAAAGAUUUAUCGCCAAAAAGAUGAGUCCGCGUCCGAUUAGCUAGUUGGUGGGGUAAUGGCCUACCAAGGCGACGAUCGGUAGCUGGUCUGAGAGGACGAUCAGCCACACUGGGACUGAGACACGGCCCAGACUCCUACGGGAGGCAGCAGUGGGGAAUAUUGGACAAUGGGGGCAACCCUGAUCCAGCCAUGCCGCGUGAGUGAUGAAGGCCUUCGGGUUGUAAAGCUCUUUUGGCGGGUACGAUGAUGACGGUACCCGCAGAAUAAGCCCGGCUAACUUCGCGCCAGCAGCCGC